UGGUAGCAAUACCGGGAAAAGUCUAGUGGCGAACGGGUGCGUAACACGUGGGCAAUCUGCCAUGAAGUGGGGGAUAGCUCGGCGAAAGCCGAAUUAAUACCGCAUGUGAUCAGUGAAGACAUCUUCACGACAUUAAGGCCGGGGCAACCUGGCGCUUCUUGAUGAGCCCGCGGCCUAUCAGCUAGUUGGUGAGGUAACGGCUCACCAAGGCGGUGACGGGUAGCUGGUCUGAGAGGACGACCAGCCACACUGGAACUGAGACACGGUCCAGACACCUACGGGUGGCAGCAGUCGAGAAUUUUUCUCAAUGGGGGAAACCCUGAAGGAGCGACGCCGCGUGGAGGAUGAAGGCUUUCGGGUUGUAAACUCCUGUCAUUUGGGAACAAUGUCCCGCUAUUAACUGUAGCGGGAUUGAUAGUACCAGAAGAGGAAGAGACGGCUAACUCUGUGCCAGCAGCCGCGGUAAUACAGAGGUCUCAAGCGUUGUUCGGAUUCAUUGGGCGUAAAGGGUGCGUAGGUGGCGCGCUAAGUCAGGUGUGAAAUUUCGGAGCUUAACUCCGAAACUGCAUUUGAUACUGGCGUGCUUGAGGACUGGAGAGGAGACUGGAAUUCACGGUGUAGCA
This 623-nucleotide ribosomal RNA is filed under the name uncultured Verrucomicrobiota bacterium. RNAcentral's name for it is "bacterial SSU rRNA". It matches the Rfam family "Bacterial small subunit ribosomal RNA", at positions 74 to 680 of the family's 1533-position model. Lineage: Bacteria; Pseudomonadati; Verrucomicrobiota. The record is from RNAcentral.